CAACCAUCAAGCCCCGGGCUUGUGUUGGGGCCCUGCGGCUGCCGCAGGCCCUGAAAACCAGUGGCGGGCUCGCUAGUCACUCCGAGCGUAGUAGUUUACACCUCGCUCAGGGCGUGCUGCGGGUUCCGGCCGUUAAAAGCCUUAUUUUACCCAAGG
RNAcentral lists this unclassified non-coding RNA (156 nucleotides) under uncultured Chaetomium. RNAcentral describes it as "sequence contains ITS2". Lineage: Eukaryota; Fungi; Ascomycota; Sordariomycetes; Sordariales; Chaetomiaceae. The record is from RNAcentral.